This 349-nucleotide unclassified non-coding RNA is filed under the name uncultured Tepidisphaerales bacterium. RNAcentral describes it as "contains 16S-23S intergenic spacer region". The record is from RNAcentral. Lineage: Bacteria; Pseudomonadati; Planctomycetota; Phycisphaerae; Tepidisphaerales.
UCCGGUUUGACACCGGCAGUCCCCUUAGAGUCCCCGGCAUAACCCGAUGGUAACUAAGGGCAAAGGUUUCGCUCGUUAAGGGACUUAACCCGACAUCUCACGACACGAGCUGACGACAGCCAUGCAGCACCUGUACCAGUUGUACCCCGAAGGGCCUACCCCACUUUCAUGGGGAUAAUCCUGGCAUGUCAAGCCCAGGUAAGGUUCUGCGCGUUGCUUCGAAUUGAACCACAUGCUCCACCGCUUGUGUGAGCCCCCGUCAAUUCCUUUGAGUUUUAGCCUUGCGACCGUACUUCCCAGGCGGUCCACUUAGCACUUUUGCUUCGUUACUGAGAGUGUCAAACCCCCA